UGUGCCUUUCCUGAGAGAAUAUUCAGUGUCAGUGUGGCAAGAGCUCACUCAGGAGCCAUUUCCUUUAACAUAAUCUCAUGGUAGAAGGAAUCUGGAAACAAUGUCUGGCUCCCUUCUAGAGCCAUGAGUGAUCCCACAGGAUCACUGUCAGUGAGAGGAAGAGGCGUUUAGCUGUCCAUCUUCCUCCACUGUGGAAUGCCAGCGUGUCCUUCCCUGUGCUCUGUGCAGCCCCAGAGAAGAGCAGAGAGGGAAGGGGCCGGGCCCAGGGCUGUGCCCCAGGGCUGAGCCUUGGGUGCAGCCUGAGGAUCUACAGUGUCACAGGAGCUGUUCUGUCCUGCCUUUCUUUGCAGCUCAACUUGUUGAUGACAGCGAUCCAGUUUCUAAAACCAUGUCCAUGAAUGAGCCUCUGAGAGAUGCUGAGAGUGUGGCUGCAGGGAGGACUUUUCAGGCUCCUUUGCUGGCAACUGCAAACAAGCCCAGCUCCCAUCGCAGGGGGCCCCCAAUUAGAAAGAGCAAAGCUACAGAACACAAGAAACCCCAUGAGCCAUCCAAACACAUGUGGCAAAUGCUGAAGGAAAUCGAAGAGGCAGGACAAGGUGGGUGCAUUUCCUCAGCCUUCCCCUGGGACUCAGCAGCCGGGGCCUUGCCCUGCACAUAUAGACAGGCCCUGCCCGGCACAGCGGGAAGGGAUCCAUGGCAGCCUCGCUGCCCCGCUGCUGCUCUC
This is a non-coding RNA of Taeniopygia guttata (zebra finch), 724 nucleotides long. NCBI's taxonomy places the organism in Eukaryota, Metazoa, Chordata, Aves, Passeriformes, Estrildidae. The record is from RefSeq and is a predicted model, not a curated record.